ACAGGUCUGUGACGAAGUCCAGCACCGUAGCGUCCACGCAGCUCUCCGGAUAGGCCGCCAUCGCUUCGGCUUGGCCCUGCCUCUCAUCGGUUUUCCGCAGGGAGGGGCGAGGCUGCUGGUGGGGAUUCUUAACAGCCUUGAAUCUGAUGGGGCACCAUCAUCGAAGGGCCAGGGAACAUUAAAUAUUUAUAACCAAGCUGAUAACAGGAUUAGUCGCACCGAUAAGGAAUGCUCUGACAACGUCCCUUCUCUCGAAGCUUAUGGAAGAUGACAAGCUUGAGCACGCUUGGAAGACUCAAAGGGACAGGCCUCCAGUUCUGAGAUCCUUUUCUCUGUGCCACCCGGGACAGUUCCUUGUUGGCAACAACCCCCAGCUCUUACCUGCUGUGCUUUUUGUGUCUGUCUUCACCCCUGCAGCAAACUAAUGUUCUCCAGGCUCCGUAACUCGUGUAGUUCUUUAAUUUCGUGUUGGAUUUUCAAAGCGAGGAUGUUUUCCACCGCGAUGGCUUCUCCUUGACUUCAGGGUAGGAGUCUUGAAUCUUGCCACCAUCUGCCAAUGGAUGUGGAGCAAGUGCAUGUGCUUUUAAUGAUGUCCUGAAGAGGGGCCCUGCCUGCCUGGGAUCCAGGGGAGCUGUUUGUCUGGUAUCCCAGUGCAGCGGCUGCUGAAAGGCAAGACCUUCCAUUAGCUUAAGUAAGCAUGGCAGGGGGGCCGAGAGUGCAUUCCCCAGAGUCGCUGUUGGAACCGGCUUUCUUUUUCUUUCCAGGGCAUCGCAAAUAGCUCUCCUGCCACGUUACAAACCCUGACUUCCAAAGUCUGUUUGGAUGCAAUCAGCCUAACAAUUGAGAUACUUGACUUUCCUUUCCCUACCUUUACCUCCUACUCAUAUAAAAUAGAGGAUUUUAUUCCAAGAGGAAAAGUUAUGACGGCAAUAAAAUGAGAAAUUUAAGCUCAGGAUAUUUUCUGUGCUCGGGCUUUGCUGUAUACUUUUCAGUGUGGGGGACAAAGCAAACUCUCCUCAAAAACAAAACCACUUCAAGCUCUUUUCAGAAAUGCGAUUUGCCCUUGAUAAGCCAAAGAGUCAAUCAGCUCACCCUCUGCUGAGGAGUCUUCGGACUUUUAAAUUGCGGAUCGAGUAUUUGUUCCUGAACAAAGAAAAAAACCUAACACUUCCAUCUGGCGUAUUUUCCUCAUUGAUUUGUAUUGUCCUACAGUAAGAUUUAAGUGCAGAAACAAUGAUUUAUGGAAGUAUAUUUAUGGGAGCUUUUUGGCUAUCGUUAGAUCGUUAUUUUUGAGAUAAAAAAGAGAUUUUAAAUUUGGCAUAAGAAAAAUAAGAGUUACUCAUUUUAUAUUAUCUCUAGUAUCCCUAAUAUUUUGACAAAAGGGUUCUUUUUCUUUGUUUGCCAGUAACUAUAUUUACUUAAUUAUUCAGUACUGUGUAAAGAUUUAUUUAAAAGACCCAUUGUGUCAAAGUGACAGAUUAGAAGAUAAUUUUAAAGGUAGAUUAGAAGAAAUAGCCUAAAAAGAUGAAUGUAGAAACAUCCCGGUUCAAAAGAGAACUGCCCAGGGCAUCAGUCCCUCUUAAGGGGGUAAGUCGUGGCUAUGAUGGUUCACUCAGUACAUUGGACAGCUCCCAGAAACCAGAAACCGCCUAUUUCUAACAGGUAAACUUUUUUGAAGCUCAGUGUAUGUACUUUAAAAUUCACAAAUUAUAUACGUGCAGCUUCAUGAAUUUUCAAAGUGAAUGUAUCCAUGAAACCAGUGCCCAAAUGAAGAAAUGGAAUGCCUUUUUGAAGUUUGAGAUAAGAAUUAAUGCACCAUUUUUCAGAUGAAGAAACUGGAAAUUCAGAGGUGUUAGCUUGUCCAAGGAUCAGAAUUUAUGGAGGCCUGAAGUUCCUGGCUCUCUCUGACAUAACUUGCAUUAUUUGAUCUAACCACAGUACCCCAAAGCUGAAAAAAAAUCAGUCAGGUAGAAUUCACGUGUAUUUUUUCCUUCAAUGAAAUUCACUGUAGAGUAGCAUAUGUUUAAGAGAAUGUGUGAGUUUUAUUGCAGGUCAGA
Symphalangus syndactylus (siamang) is the source of this 2057-nucleotide long non-coding RNA. RefSeq lists it as uncharacterized. Lineage: Eukaryota; Metazoa; Chordata; Mammalia; Primates; Hylobatidae. The record is from RefSeq and is a predicted model, not a curated record.